GAUGAAGAACGCAGCGAAACGCGAUAUGUAAUGUGAAUUGCAGAAUUCAGUGAAUCAUCGAAUCUUUGAACGCACAUUGCGCCCGCCAGCACUCUGGCGGGCAUGCCUGUUCGAGCGUCAUUUCAACCAUCAAGCCCCCAGGGGCUUGUGCUGGGGCCCUGCGGCUGCCCGCAGGCCCUGAAAACCAGUGGCGGGCUCGCUAGUCACACCGAGCGCAGUAGCACAUCUCGCUAAGGGCGUGCGGCGGGCUCCUGCCGUGAAACCCCCCACUGUAACCCCAAAGGUUGACCUCGGAUCAGGUAGGAAUACCCGCUGAACUUAAGCAUAUCAAUAAGCGGAGGA
Molecule: unclassified non-coding RNA, 342 nt
Filed under: soil metagenome
Description: partial contains 5.8S ribosomal RNA, internal transcribed spacer 2, and large subunit ribosomal RNA
Rfam family: 5.8S ribosomal RNA (bases 1-120)
Source: RNAcentral